GUCUACAGCAUGCUACCCUGAACACGCUCAAUCUCGUCUGAUCUUGGAAGCUUAGCAGAGUCAGGCCUGGUUAAUACUUGGAUGGGAGACCACCAAGGAAUACCCAGUGCUAUAGGCA
RNAcentral lists this ribosomal RNA (118 nucleotides) under Pteropus alecto (black flying fox). Lineage: Eukaryota; Metazoa; Chordata; Mammalia; Chiroptera; Pteropodidae. The record is from RNAcentral.